AUUGAACGCUGGCGGCAUGCCUUUCACAUGCAAGUCGAACGGCAGCGCGGGAGCAAUCCUGGCGACGAGUGGCGAACGGGUGCGUAACACGUGGAUAACAUUCCGGAAAGCGGGGAAUAGCCCAGGGAAACUUGGAUUAAUACCGCAUGUGGCCGCAAGGCUAAGGACGGGGACCGCAAGGCCUGUCACUUUCCGAUUGGUCCGCGGCCUAUCAGCUAGUUGGCGGGGUGAUGGCCCACCAAGGCUACGACGGGUAGCUGGUCUUAUAGGACGACCAGCCACACUGGAACUGAGACACGGUCCAGACUCCUACGGGAGGCAGCAGUGGGGAAUUUUGGACAAUGGACGCAAGUCUGAUCCAGCCAUUCCGCGUGCAGGAUGAAGGCCCUCGGGUUGUAAACUGCUUUUGUACGGAACGAAAAGGUCUCUCUUAAUACGGGGGACUCAUGACGGUACCGUAAGAAUAAGCACCGGCUAACUACGUGCCAGCCGCCGCAGUAA
This 501-nucleotide ribosomal RNA is filed under the name uncultured bacterium. RNAcentral's name for it is "partial 16S ribosomal RNA". It matches the Rfam family "Bacterial small subunit ribosomal RNA", at positions 30 to 523 of the family's 1533-position model. The record is from RNAcentral.